AAAAAAAAAAAAAAAAAAAAGUGUAUGCUUUCCUGCAGCUGUAGAAGAGGAAACAUAUUCUCCUUGUCUUUCUGGGGUUUCUUUUACCAGUAGUUAGGAGAGCUUGCAGUUUUAAGGUGGAGCAUUAGAAUUCUGUUAGCACUGGCCAAACAGCAGAACUGAGAUGCUUAAACCUUACAGUAUAGAAAAGGAAGAAAAAUAUUUUAACAAGUGGGAUGUGAAGCACGACUUGUUUUAUCUUUGAAACUUGUUUGGUAAACAGUCUCAAUUUAGUGAAAAACAAACACGUAAUGACUUUCUUUUUCUCUAGCUACUGCCUUCAUACGUACUCUGUUGAAACUGCUUUUCCUGCCCCUUAGCAUCCUCUUGGGCAGAUCAUAUAAUUUUUGGUCUUUGGAGAGGGUGGGUAUUAAAAACCCCAUCCAGUCCAUCCCAGUCCAAUUUUCAAAGUUUCAGCUCUGUUGAGGUAUAAAUGAUAUACAAAAUUGCAAGAGAUUUAAAUUGCAAGAGAUUUAAAGUGUACGUUGUGGUGAUUUAACAUUCAUAUACAAUGUGAAAGGUUUCUCUUCAUCUAGUUAACAUAUCCAUCAUCUCACUUGCUUUUUCUUUUUUUUGGGAAGAACAUUCAAGUUCUACUCUUUUAGCAAAUUUCAGCUAUGCUGUAUAGUGUUAUCAGCUAUAGUCACCAUGUUUUACAUCAAAUGCUCAGACUUUAUUCAUCUCACAGCCAAAAGGUUGUACCCUUUUACCAACACCUCCCUAUUUCUCCCAGCUUCUACUUUUCAACUCUCUUGUUUCUGUGAAUUUGACAUUUUUCUUUUUUUCUUUUUUGUCUUUUUGCCUUUUUCUAGAGCCGCUCCUGUGGCAUAUGGAGGUUCCCAGGCUAAGGGUCUAAUCGGAGCUGUAGCCACUGGCCUAUGCCAGAGCCACAGCAACUCGGGAUCUGAGCCGUGUCUGCAACCUACACCACAGCUCAUGGCAACGCCAGAUCCUUAACCCACCGAGCAAGGCCAGGGAUCGAACCUGCAACCUCAUGGUUCCUAGUUGGAUUCGUUAACCACUGCACCACGACGGGAACUCCGAAUUUGACAUUUUUUUAAAAAUACACAUACAAGUGAUAGCAUGUAAUAGCUCUCUCUGUCUGUCUUAUUUCGCUGAGCACAAUGCCCUAAGGUCCAUCAAUGUUGCUUUGUGUGGCAGGAUUUCUUCUUUUUCAUGGCUGAAUAAUAUUCCUUUGUAUGUAUGUACUACAUCUACUUUAUCCAUUCAUCUGUUGACAGACAUUUAGGUUGUUUCCAUAUCUUGGCUAUUGUGAAUAGUGGUACAGUGAAUGUGGGGGCAUAGGUUACUCCUUGAUACCCUGUUUUCAUUUCUUUUGAUAUACACCCAGAGAUGGCAAUCUCAGUCCAGUUGAUCAGUUCUAAAACUUUUCAUGCUCUCCUCCCCACCACAGUCAGUCCUGGGCUCAAGGACAUACUGGACACCUUCUUCAUUCCUCACUUCCCUCUUUGGGGGUUCCCUGUCCCUCUCUAGUGUCACCCUGAGACCACCUUCAUCAAUGGAGCCCUCAUGGGAAAGGCUUAAGCCAGUUGUCUUCUGAGGGCUCCACUCAUCCCAAGGGAAACUUAUCUUUCCUGGUCACAUUCAAAAGUAGGAGUGCAGACUUCCCCACCUGCUGCUGUUUUUGCAUUUCCACCAUCCCUCUCAAAUAGGACACAGGCUGCCCGGGACACAGCCAACUCAGAAGCAGAUGCCACUGGCACCUUCAUGUGGUCACCCUUAAUCUCAGCUGGUAGUCCCUACUCAUCCAGCUUGUUGUGAGGGUGAGGUGAGCACUGCCUUUUCUCCCCUUUCAGGAAGGGAAGGAAAAACCCCCACAAAACCAUGAUUCUUGUGAUUUUUUCCUUCAAACUGCUGAUUUUCAGCUGGGGGAGGUGGGGAAGGGCAGAAUCCUAGAGCAGUUCUGCUACCUUUUAAUAAGUCCUACUGGAGUCUGUCUUUCGAGUUCCUUCCAGCCUCUUUAGAACAUGGUGGUGGAGGCGUGUGUGUGAGGGGAGGGGAUCAUGGCAGGGUGGGAGGCUGGGGACUUAGUAUUUGUUGUUUUCAGUGUAGAACUUCAACUGGAGUUGGAGACAGAGCAUCUCUCUUUAGAAAUCCUGUUCCAUUUGCUUUGCAAAUUCUCACUCUUCAUCGCAGAAAGAGAUCAGACUGUCAGACUCUUUUUCUCAAACCUCAAACCUUCUUUCCAAAUUUUACUCUCAGUUGGCAAUUUUGCUUCCUAUUUCUCUGAGAAAAUAGAGGCAAUCGCAAGAGAACAGCUCCCACACCCAUCCCCGCCUCUUGCCUACCCACCCACACCUGUGCUCCUGGGCUCUGCCUUCUCACUCUGAGGGCAGGGGUGUGUGUGUGUGUGUGUGUGUUUGUGUGUGUGUUUAAGAGAGACACGAGGGAGGAUGAGGAUGAACAGAGGGAAAAAAUAACAAACUUAAUUUUAUGCAUAAUGUUAGAGUAAAUUUAAAAGUAACCUGAGGGACAUUAUGAACUUAUGCUAACCAAGUUAAUAUACGUGUACAGAAAAACAGAAUAGGUUGUGAGUAACAUUACAGGGAUUAGUGAUAAUUUUUUUGACAUACUAAAGGAUGGUACUUCAUUUGCUUUCUAUGUUACCUAAGAUUGCUAGAUGUUAUCUGGAAGUCUUAGCAAUACAUAUGUUUUUAAAAUGUGCAAAAUUAGCACUGGCCUCCUCCAUCCUUCUCCAAGCUUCUUCAGCCACUGCAUUCUCCAUUUCCUCUUGCUAUCUUCAUCUCCCCAGGGCAAGGUUCACAACUUUUUUAAAUAUCCAGAGCCACUGGAGGUGUGGGGAAAGGCAUGGAGACUGAUGAUUUCACAGUCGACCAUCCCCGUGGAUCAGCUCCUCGAGGAAUGAGAUCAGAUUAAGGACCCAGACAGGGCAGAGGGAUCAGCCUUGCCAUCACUUUCUCAUCCCCGGGUUUAGGGUUUGUAAAAAGUGACACCUAGGGAGUCAGUGAGACUCUUUCCUUUGGGGAAGGAGAGAGAAGAGGAGGAAGAAGGACUUGCUGUGCAUUAGGCAGUUCACCAGUACCUGUUAACAGGUGAAGAAAUUGGUCUCUGAGACACUGCCACCUGUCUAAAGUCAUACGGCUGGGAUGAGAUGGAGCUGGGGUUUAAACCCAGGUCUGCUUGUCUCCAGUCCUACCACACUCUAAUUGUUAGCUAUAAUUAGCAAGUGUUUCUUUAGACAAAGCCAAAAUGAAACUCAGGAGUGAGAUGGUGCUGGUAGCAGCCCGUGCCCUCUCUUCACCUUCCCACAACUGAAGUGACAUCAAGAGGAAAGUUAGUUGUCAGGGCAAAGUGGGAGUGGGCAGAGCCGAGCCCAGCUGAAACUGUGAAAUGGGCAGACAAGUCACCUGCAGCCAGUUUCUUCCAUCACUCGAAAGACACAACCCACAGCGACCCCAAGGUUUCCUCUCUCUUCAGCUUUGUGGAACUGCCCUGCAGUACUCCAUACCCAGCAACAAGCUCUCAAGGUUCACAACUCUUUUUACUCUGAAGUUAUCAGAUCUCAGGGAACAAAAACUAAACCAUAGAAUUUAGUAUCAAACUUUCAUUUUAAAGCUGCAAUUUUUAGUUUCUCUCAACAUUUGGAGGCUUUGAGGCACCUACAGUACAUUUGUCCUGACAAACAAGGCAUUAACUUCUCUUCCUGGGGAAAUGGAGACAGAAUAUAGAUGGCUUUAAAAUAAAAGAUUAUGUGACCUGGGGCACAAAGUGCAUGAAGUACUCUAUAAGAAUUUAGAUGGUCUUAUGCUCACAUGAUAUGGUUUGUUCUGAGAAGGUAUGUAUAUGUGCACACAUGCAGCACAUACAGAACAUCAGGAGUGGAGGCUCCAAAAUUGGGGUCUUCACCUCAAGUUGGAAAAGAAACUGGCUAAAGAUCAGACUUCGUGAAAAUUGAGUUGAAUAGGGACUUAAGCCAUUUUGGGCUGUGCAUGAAAAUUUGAUGAGACAUUCUAAUGGGCUUCUAUGCAGCCUUAAAAAAUGAACAAGCCAGGUGCAGAGUAUUUUGUUUACUGUGAAAAGCAAGGUACAAAGGGUUUGUGUAGUGGAUCAGCAAGUGUGUGAGAAGUUUGGAAUGGAUAGGAUAGAAUACCUCUAGAAGGACAUGCAAGGAAAUAUUAGCAAUGACUGCCUUCUGUGGGAUCUGGGGCAUUGGGAGGGGGGUGUAGAGUUUUAUCUUUCACCACAUGCUUUUGUACUUCUUGAUUUUAAAAACAAUAUACAUAUUAAAAACCACACUUU
RNAcentral lists this long non-coding RNA (4320 nucleotides) under Sus scrofa (pig). RNAcentral describes it as "lncRNA (ENSSSCG00000056686.1)". Lineage: Eukaryota; Metazoa; Chordata; Mammalia; Artiodactyla; Suidae. The record is from RNAcentral.